RNAcentral lists this ribosomal RNA (300 nucleotides) under uncultured bacterium. Its description in RNAcentral is "bacterial SSU rRNA". It matches the Rfam family "Bacterial small subunit ribosomal RNA", at positions 496 to 795 of the family's 1533-position model. The record is from RNAcentral.
GCUAACUCUGUGCCAGCAGCCGCGGUAAUACAGAGGGUGCAAGCGUUAAUCGGAAUUACUGGGCGUAAAGCGCGCGUAGGCGGUUCGAUAAGUCGGGUGUGAAAGCCCCGGGCUCAACCUGGGAAUUGCAUUCGAUACUGUCGAGCUAGAGUAUGGUAGAGGAAAGCGGAAUUCCACAUGUAGCGGUGAAAUGCGUAGAUAUGUGGAGGAACAUCAGUGGCGAAGGCGGCUUUCUGGACCAAUACUGACGCUGAGGCGCGAAAGCGUGGGGAGCAAACAGGAUUAGAUACCCCAGUAGUC